RNAcentral lists this ribosomal RNA (503 nucleotides) under uncultured bacterium. Its description in RNAcentral is "partial 16S ribosomal RNA". It matches the Rfam family "Bacterial small subunit ribosomal RNA", at positions 30 to 523 of the family's 1533-position model. The record is from RNAcentral.
AUUGAACGCUGGCGGCAGGCUUAACACAUGCAAGUCGAGCGGGGUGAUGGUGCUUGCACUAUCACUUAGCGGCGGACGGGUGAGUAAUGCUUAGGAAUCUGCCUAUUAGUGGGGGACAACAUCUCGAAAGGGAUGCUAAUACCGCAUACGUCCUACGGGAGAAAGCAGGGGAUCACUUGUGACCUUGCGCUAAUAGAUGAGCCUAAGUCGGAUUAGCUAGUUGGUGGGGUAAAGGCCUACCAAGGCGACGAUCUGUAGCGGGUCUGAGAGGACGAUCCGCCACCCUGGGACUGAGACACGGCCCAGACUCCUACGGGAGGCAGCAGUGGGGAAUAUUGGACAAUGGGGGGAACCCUGAUCCAGCCAUGCCGCGUGUGUGAAGAAGGCCUUAUGGUUGUAAAGCACUUUAAGCGAGGAGGAGGCUCUUUUGGUUAAUACCCAAGAUGAGUGGACGUUACUCGCAGAAUAAGCACCGGCUAACUCUGUGCCAGCCGCCGCGGUAA